RNAcentral lists this ribosomal RNA (439 nucleotides) under Parvimonas sp. oral taxon 110. Its description in RNAcentral is "bacterial SSU rRNA". It matches the Rfam family "Bacterial small subunit ribosomal RNA", at positions 28 to 450 of the family's 1533-position model. The record is from RNAcentral. Lineage: Bacteria; Bacillati; Bacillota; Tissierellia; Tissierellales; Peptoniphilaceae.
GACGAACGCUGGCGGCGUGCUUAACACAUGCAAGUCGAACGUGAUUUUUGUGGAAAGCCCUUCGGGGACGGAAAUGAAAUGAAAGUGGCGAACGGGUGAGUAACACGUGAGCAACCUACCUUACACAGGGGGAUAGCCGUUGGAAACGACGAUUAAUACCGCAUGAGACCACAAAGCCACAUGGCUUAGGGGUAAAAGAUUUAUCGGUGUAAGAUGGGCUCGCGUCUGAUUAGCUAGUUGGAAGGGUAAAGGCCUACCAAGGCAACGAUCAGUAGCCGGUCUGAGAGGAUGAACGGCCACAUUGGAACUGAGACACGGUCCAAACUCCUACGGGAGGCAGCAGUGGGGAAUAUUGCACAAUGGGGGGAACCCUGAUGCAGCGACGCCGCGUGAGCGAAGAAGGUUUUCGAAUCGUAAAGCUCUGUCCUAUGAGAAGAUA